ACUGAAAAAUGGCAAACUUAUUGAAAAAUAAGGACGCAAAGCUCCAGGCCUGAAUAAAAUGGCGGCUGAGCUACCAAU
This 78-nucleotide non-coding RNA is filed under the name Paraliobacillus sp. PM-2. Its description in RNAcentral is "c-di-GMP-I riboswitch aptamer". It matches the Rfam family "c-di-GMP-I riboswitch aptamer". From Rfam's summary of the family: GEMM was predicted in a large-scale screen for bacterial structured RNA regulatory elements. Genes associated with GEMM are involved in a diverse array of functions, including chemotaxis regulation, signal transduction, secretion and chitin. The record is from Rfam by way of RNAcentral. RNAcentral also lists the same sequence under 1 other name. Lineage: Bacteria; Bacillati; Bacillota; Bacilli; Caryophanales; Bacillaceae.